GCAAGUCGAGCGGGGAAGGUAGCUUGCUACUGGACCUAGCGGCGGACGGGUGAGUAAUGCUUAGGAAUCUGCCUAUUAGUGGGGGACAACAUUCCGAAAGGAAUGCUAAUACCGCAUACGUCCUACGGGAGAAAGCAGGGGACCUUCGGGCCUUGCGCUAAUAGAUGAGCCUAAGUCGGAUUAGCUAGUUGGUGGGGUAAAGGCCUACCAAGGCGACGAUCUGUAGCGGGUCUGAGAGGAUGAUCCGCCACACUGGGACUGAGACACGGCCCAGACUCCUACGGGAGGCAGCAGUGGGGAAUAUUGGACAAUGGGGGGAACCCUGAUCCAGCCAUGCCGCGUGUGUGAAGAAGGCCUUAUGGUUGUAAAGCACUUUAAGCGAGGAGGAGGCUACUGGUAUUAAUACUACUGGAUAGUGGACGUUACUCGCAGAAUAAGCACCGGCUAACUCUGUGCCAGCAGCCGCGGUAAUACAGAGGGUGCGAGCGUUAAUCGGAUUUACUGGGCGUAAAGCGUGCGUAGGCGGCCAUUUAAGUCAAAUGUGAAAUCCCCGAGCUUAACUUGGGAAUUGCAUUCGAUACUGGAUGGCUAGAGUAUGGGAGAGGAUGGUAGAAUUCCAGGUGUAGCGGUGAAAUGCGUAGAGAUCUGGAGGAAUACCGAUGGCGAAGGCAGCCAUCUGGCCUAAUACUGACGCUGAGGUACGAAAGCAUGGGGAGCAAACAGGAUUAGAUACCCUGGUAGUCCAUGCCGUAAACGAUGUCUACUAGCCGUUGGGGCCUUUGAGGCUUUAGUGGCGCAGCUAACGCGAUAAGUAGACCGCCUGGGGA
Molecule: ribosomal RNA, 827 nt
Filed under: uncultured Acinetobacter sp.
Lineage: Bacteria; Pseudomonadati; Pseudomonadota; Gammaproteobacteria; Moraxellales; Moraxellaceae
Description: bacterial SSU rRNA
Rfam family: Bacterial small subunit ribosomal RNA
Source: RNAcentral